UAGAUAUAUAUAUAUAUAAUAUAUAUAUAUAUAUAUAUAUAUAUAUAUACAAGUGCUGAAGUAUUUUGUAAUAAGUCAGUAGGAGAAGUUCGGUGAGUGCCUUUGUAAUGAGGAGUGUGACACCUAAUAUUUCGCGGCUUGCCUUUCGUUUGUGAUUGAGGAAAGAUGUCGAAAGAAAGUUUUGUCGCUUGGACUGGAGAACAGUAUUUUCAGAAGGUAUUAGAUUUUAGGGAGUAACACAUGUUGUGCUGAUAUAUGAGAUGGAAGGUAGAUAAGCAAGAGCAAGGAGUUAAAUGAGUAGGUUCGAAGUUUUCCUCUACAUGUAUUUUUCAUUCUCAAUGUUUUGCCCAUCAUUGAACUCAUGAAAAUGUGGCAAUGUAUUAUACGAUCUGAAAGUGACAAGCAAGAGAGAUAACUUCAAUAAGAUCCGUGAUCGAAUUAUAGAAAGUGUAUACAGGAGUGAAUCAAAGUUAUUUCGAUCCUUAUUGCAGAGUCUGUAUUGAGUGUGCAGAACACUUCCCUGGCGUAUUUUCCUUGAAACAUAUUAUGAGAUAUUGAGAGAGAAGGUAGAAAGAGCCAGUGCCUCAAAGAAAAAAGGCAAAAGAGUUCAAGAGAGAGGAGUAAAAUUAAACUGCAAAACCCAUAGAUAAAGAUCAACCGCGCAAAAAAUUAUUCACCUGAAGAGGUUGGACAGAAUGAUGGACAUAUCUUGUUAAACAGAAGUUUUUAUUUAGUACGAUGUUGGUUCACCUUCAGCAUCAAUACGUCAAUCAAUCUUAAUACGUCGAGGAAUUGGUUCGUACAGGUUCUGUAAAGAGAAUUUUGAGCCACUCUUCAAGUAAAUCUUGCUUUAGCUCUUUCAACUAUGAAGGCAGAAAAAAGUGGCUCCUCACUUGCUAUUCCAAAAUGCACCAUAAAUGUUCAAUUAUACAUUUAUACUUUCGGUGAGAGAGAUGGGGUGGCAGUCCCAUUGGUCUACUUUACUUUUGUGCUCUUUUUAUUACUUUUGAUUAACAUUAGCUGUGUGAAUCAUUGAGUUAUCAUCCUGGAAAAUUGCAUUACCAUGAAGGAGCAAUUUUCGUACUAUAGGAUGGGUAUCAUUCGCAAAAUUACUCAGAUACUCCUUGGCAAGAGAAACCUGUGAUAUGGUUGUCCAAACCAUCACAGAUCCACCUCCAUGCUUCACGGUAGAGGCCAAACAGUUAGGGUUUGGUGA
Long non-coding RNA from Octopus sinensis (East Asian common octopus), 1216 nucleotides. RefSeq lists it as uncharacterized. Lineage: Eukaryota; Metazoa; Mollusca; Cephalopoda; Octopoda; Octopodidae. The transcript has 2 exons. The record is from RefSeq and is a predicted model, not a curated record.